GCUGUUGGAUCCUCUGUUCUUUUUGCUGUUCGGUGGAGGAGUAACACAGGCAGUGGCUUAGCAGUUUAAAUGAUGAGUUACUUAAGAAGGAGGCCACCACUGACUCAAGGAGUGAGACCUUCUCUUCAAUAAUGAAGGUGUGAUUCCAUAGAUAAACUCCAUAAAAGGUGUGAGACCAUUGAUUGAGAGAUACAAGACUCACAACAGUUCAAGGACUUCUACCAGUUUACGUUUAAUGUUGCCAAAAACUUGGGAGGAAAGGACUAGGCUAGUGACAUAAUAUUAUACAUGUACAUGUAGGAUCAUGUUUGCUAAACUUGCCACACAAUGAUUUCAAUGUACACAUGUUGAUGGGGGAAUUUUGCAAGUGAUCCUACUAAAAUUUGAGAAUACAUGUACAUGUAUAAUUUAAUGUAUAUUGUAUGAAUUGAUUAAAAUCUUUUGUGCUUUUUAUUUCUCUACAGAUCUUGAGAUGGCCAUUGCCUACUGGAAUCUUAUUUUUACUGGUCGCUUCAAAUUUUUGGGCUUGUGGUGUGAAUUUUUGUGAAUUUUUAAGAUCUCAUUAUAAAAGAGCUCGCAAUACCCAAAGACACUUGAAACCUUCUGCUAGAGUUUUCAAAUACGAUUGAUGACACCAUGAGCAAUUAUGAUGAAGAUGAAAUGUUCAGCUAAUAGUACAGGAUGUGGUGUUUGUCAUUCAAGGGAUCUGUUGUUCAGGUUUAGUGAAGAUGUGGUUACAUGUCCUAACUGCUCCUCACACUUUCACUGGUUAUAGCAAGUUCCUGUUAAAGGUUCAAGUACAUUAGGUUAAUGACACUAAGAGGAUAAGUACUAUUCUCUGCUAUUGAAGACUACAUUGAGAAGUUAAUUGUUUGCUGUUUGAAGCUGUACAUUAACUGAAGACUAUAAAGAAUUACAUAACAUUAUUGUUUAUAAUUUUAUCAUUUUUGUUUAAUACACAAAGUUGUCUUUUUAUCAUUGUUUAUUGUGAAUUUUGAUUAAAAUUAUUGCAAGAGCCAUUAAUGCAGAAGCGGGUGCAAUGACUUAUAAACA
Molecule: long non-coding RNA, 1053 nt
Filed under: Amphimedon queenslandica
Lineage: Eukaryota; Metazoa; Porifera; Demospongiae; Haplosclerida; Niphatidae
Description: uncharacterized LOC109588528, transcript variant X1
Source: RNAcentral